CCUACGGGGGGCAGCAGUGAGGAAUAUUGGUCAAUGGACGAGAGUCUGAACCAGCCAAGUAGCGUGAAGGAUGACUGCCCUAUGGGUUGUAAACUUCUUUUAUAAAGGAAUAAAACGAGGCACGUGUGCCCUUUUGCAUGUACUUUAUGAAUAAGGAUCGGCUAACUCCGUGCCAGCAGCCGAGGUAAUACGGAGGAUCCGAGCGUUAUCCGGAUUUAUUGGGUUUAAAGGGAGCGUAGAUGGGUUGUUAAGUCAGUUGUGAAAGUUUGCGGCUCAACCGUAAAAUUGCAAUUGAAACUGGCAGUCUUGAGUACAGUUGAGGUAGGCGGAAUUCGUGGUGUAGCGGUGAAAUGCUUAGAUAUCACGAAGAACCCCGAUUGCGAAGGCAGCUUACUAAACUGUGACUGACAUUGAUGCUCGAAAGUGUGGGUAUCAAACAGGAUUAGAUACCCCGGUAGUC
Molecule: ribosomal RNA, 460 nt
Filed under: uncultured bacterium
Lineage: Bacteria
Description: partial 16S ribosomal RNA
Rfam family: Bacterial small subunit ribosomal RNA
Source: RNAcentral